This 240-nucleotide unclassified non-coding RNA is filed under the name soil metagenome. RNAcentral's name for it is "partial contains 5.8S ribosomal RNA, internal transcribed spacer 2, and large subunit ribosomal RNA". The record is from RNAcentral.
AACAAGGCGUACCUGCGGACCUGCGGAAGGAUCAUUACAGAGUUCGUGCCCUCGCGGGUAGAUCUCCCACCCUUGUGUAUUCUCUACAUCUUGUUGCUUUGGCAGGCCGUUGGUUCGCCAACCACCGGCUCGCGGGCUGGUGCGUGCCUGCCAGAGGACCUCUCAAACUCGGUUUGUUAGUGUCGUCUGAGUACCAUAACAAUCGUUAAAACUUUUAGCAACGGAUCUCAGAUCGGAAGA